CCUACGGGAGGCUGCAGUGAGGAAUAUUGGUCAAUGGGCGAAAGCCUGAACCAGCCAAGUAGCGUGCAGGAUGACUGCCCUACGGGUUGUAAACUUCUUUUAUAGGGGAAUAAAGCGCCUUACGUGUAGGGCUUUGCAUGUACCAUAUGAAUAAGGAUCGGCUAAUUCCGUGCCAGCAGCCGCGGUAAUACGGAAGGUCCGGGCGUUAUCCGGAUUUAUUGGGUUUAACGGGAGCGUAGGCGGUAGGUCAAGCCUGAUGUGAAAUGUCGGGGCUUAACCCUGGAAUUGCAGUGGAAACUGGCGGGCUUGAGUACACGAGAGGUAGGCGGAAUUCGUGGUGUAGCGGUGAAAUGCUUAGAUAUCACGAAGAACCCCGAUUGCGAAGGCAGCUCACUGGACUGGAACUGACGCUGAGGCUCGAAAGCGUGGGUAUCGAACAGGAUUAGAUACCCGAGUAGUC
This 460-nucleotide ribosomal RNA is filed under the name uncultured bacterium. RNAcentral describes it as "partial 16S ribosomal RNA". It matches the Rfam family "Bacterial small subunit ribosomal RNA", at positions 338 to 795 of the family's 1533-position model. The record is from RNAcentral.